UUUACACUCCAUCUGUCCCAAAAUUAUUGUCUUAGAUUUUCCUAGAUACUGAUGUAUCUAAUACUAAAACGUGACUUGAUACAUCCGUAUUUAGACAAAUCUAAGACAAGAAAUUUGGGAUGAAGGGAGUAUUAU
This is a non-coding RNA of Triticum aestivum (bread wheat), 135 nucleotides long. NCBI's taxonomy places the organism in Eukaryota, Viridiplantae, Streptophyta, Magnoliopsida, Poales, Poaceae. The record is from Rfam.